RNAcentral lists this ribosomal RNA (105 nucleotides) under Salinivibrio sp. SS3. RNAcentral describes it as "partial 16S ribosomal RNA". It matches the Rfam family "Bacterial small subunit ribosomal RNA", at positions 1 to 94 of the family's 1533-position model. Lineage: Bacteria; Pseudomonadati; Pseudomonadota; Gammaproteobacteria; Vibrionales; Vibrionaceae. The record is from RNAcentral.
ACUUAAAUUGAAGAGUUUGAUCAUGGCUCAGAUUGAACGCUGGCGGCAGGCCUAACACAUGCAAGUCGAGCGGAAACGGCAGUAUUGAAGCUUCGGUGGAUUUAC